CGAGCACGCGCGUGUGGCAUAUCAAUAAGCGGAGGAAAAGAAACUAACAAGGAUUCCCCUAGUAACGGCGAGUGAAGCGGGAAGAGCUCAAAUUUGAAAUCUUAAAGGGUUUCCCUUUACGAAUUGUAGUUUAAAGAAGUGUUUUCUGUUGGAGUUUCGGUAAAAGUUCUUUGGAAUAGGACAUCAUAGAGGGUGAGAAUCCCGUAUUUGACCGUUACUUUCCAGCUGUGUGAUACACUUUCAAAGAGUCGGAUUGUUUGGGAAUGCAGUCCAUAAUGGGUGGUAAAUUUCAUCUAAAGCUAAAUAUUGGCGAGAGACCGAUAGCGAACAAGUACCGUGAGGGAAAGAUGAAAAGAACUUUGAAAAGAGAGUUAAACAGUACGUGAAAUUGUCAAAAGGGAAGCGUUUGACACCAGUGUUGUUUAGUUGAAAAUCAAUUAAAUAUUUUUCGAUUUUAAGUAGUAUUGACCUUAUCAGCUUGCUGCUUUUUUCUCGGAAAUUAUUUAAUGCACUUUUCAGUUAACAAGUCAACAUCAAUUUCUUUUGUUGUAAAAAGGUAAGAGGAAGGUGGCUUGCGCUUCGGCUCAAGUGUUUAUAGCCUUUUACCCCUGCAAUCGGAGAGAUUGAGGUCUGCAGCGUAGAUCCUUCGGGGUUAGAUACAUUUGUGCUAAGCUAUAGCCUUGUAUAGACAACUUGUUGACUAUGCUCAGUCAUGUAGCUUACUCGCUUAUGCUAUUUUACCUACGCUUAGGAUGUUGAACUCUAUCACACACAG
RNAcentral lists this ribosomal RNA (775 nucleotides) under uncultured Neocallimastigales. RNAcentral's name for it is "partial large subunit ribosomal RNA". It matches the Rfam family "Eukaryotic large subunit ribosomal RNA", at positions 19 to 624 of the family's 3401-position model. The record is from RNAcentral. Lineage: Eukaryota; Fungi; Neocallimastigomycota; Neocallimastigomycetes; Neocallimastigales.